This 222-nucleotide long non-coding RNA is filed under the name Mytilus galloprovincialis (Mediterranean mussel). Lineage: Eukaryota; Metazoa; Mollusca; Bivalvia; Mytilida; Mytilidae. The record is from RNAcentral.
UGCGGGGGCAGUCGACUAAUUCAAAUGUCAAACAGUAAAUAAUUCCUUAUUUUUUUUCAAAUAUCAAGAAUGUGAAACUAAAACCAUCUGAAUUGAAUAGAUUAAUUGUAUAAAUAUUUGCUUUCAAUUACGGUUUCACUAUGUGUUUAAGAAUAAAAGUACUUCGUUAUGUACUAGUAGUUAUAUUUAGGCGUCAAACCGCAGUACAUUUUAUUUGAACCG